GAUGAACGCUGGCGGCGCGCCUAAUACAUGCAAGUCGAGCGAACAGACGAGGAGCUUGCUCCUCUGACGUUAGCGGCGGACGGGUGAGUAACACGUGGAUAACCUACCUAUAAGACUGGGAUAACUUCGGGAAACCGGAGCUAAUACCGGAUAAUAUAUUGAACCGCAUGGUUCAAUAGUGAAAGACGGUUUUGCUGUCACUUAUAGAUGGAUCCGCGCCGCAUUAGCUAGUUGGUAAGGUAACGGCUUACCAAGGCAACGAUGCGUAGCCGACCUGAGAGGGUGAUCGGCCACACUGGAACUGAGACACGGUCCAGACUCCUACGGGAGGCAGCAGUAGGGAAUCUUCCGCAAAGGGCGAAAGCCUGACGGAGCAACGCCGCGUGAGUGAUGAAGGUCUUCGGAUCGUAAAACUCUGUUAUUAGGGAAGAACAAAUGUGUAAGUAACUAUGCACGUCUUGACGGUACCUAAUCAGAAAGCCACGGCUAACUACGUG
RNAcentral lists this ribosomal RNA (497 nucleotides) under uncultured bacterium. RNAcentral describes it as "partial 16S ribosomal RNA". It matches the Rfam family "Bacterial small subunit ribosomal RNA", at positions 28 to 507 of the family's 1533-position model. The record is from RNAcentral.